Armigeres subalbatus is the source of this 681-nucleotide long non-coding RNA. RefSeq lists it as uncharacterized. NCBI's taxonomy places the organism in Eukaryota, Metazoa, Arthropoda, Insecta, Diptera, Culicidae. The transcript is spliced from 4 exons. The record is from RefSeq and is a predicted model, not a curated record.
AAACUUAUGUUAUUUUGUGCAGUGUCUGUGGCACAACCGACAAAAAUAAAUAAAAACAAAAAAAUUAAAGUUGAUGUCCGCGAUGCGCGCAGCAUCAAAGUUUUUAAAUUUCAUUUGCCGAAUAUUUGGGAAAGGCUGCCAUACAUAAAAGGUAUCGCAAAAGAGAGAGCCAUGAUCGACGUGACACUAUCACUCCCGAGAACCCAGUCGAUCGUUUUCCCUCCCAAAAAACAGAAACCGAAAAUGCAAGGAAAAACAAAAGGCUUCGACGAGCUGGUCAGGCAAAAAAGGCAGAUAAGUUAGCCAAUGGAAUGGCCGCUGAAUUGGCUUGCAAUGUUUCAAUGGCUCAUGUCUGGCCAAAUUCCGGAUCCCCGGAACAAAUAUCUAUAGCGUUGGAUGGACGAAACUAAUCAUGGGUCAAGACCUGUCAUCAUCGGAUCGAGAGAGAGGCCAGCGAGGUAUGCUCCCGGAAGAUGUUACAAGGUUAAAAGUGCCAACGUUUGUGUUAAGAGUAUUUUUGAUUAUAUUUAUUUUUAUAAAAAAAAUAUACUUCCGUUGGUUAUAAUAUAAUAAAUGGAUUUUAAAAUCUCUUGAUUUGAUUAAUUUAAUAAAAUAAACUACGAAUAAUUUCAACAACAUCAUUAUUUGAAGUAAAAAUAUCGAACUCUUAUAUUUACAGUA